UACGUAGGUGGCAAGCGUUAUCCAGAAUUAUUGGGCGUAAAGAGCGCGCAGGUGGUUGAUUAAGUCUGAUGUGAAAGCCAACGGCUUAACCGUGGAGGGUCAUUGGAAACUGGUCGACUUGAGUGCAGAAGAGGGAAGUGGAAUUCCAUGUGUAGCGGUGAAAUGCGUAGAGAUAUGGAGGAGCACCAGCGGCGAAGGCGGCGCUCUGGGCUGAGAUUGACGCUGAGGAGCGAAAGUGUGGGUAGCAAACA
RNAcentral lists this ribosomal RNA (251 nucleotides) under uncultured prokaryote. RNAcentral's name for it is "partial 16S ribosomal RNA". It matches the Rfam family "Bacterial small subunit ribosomal RNA", at positions 524 to 774 of the family's 1533-position model. The record is from RNAcentral.